RNAcentral lists this ribosomal RNA (463 nucleotides) under uncultured bacterium. RNAcentral's name for it is "bacterial SSU rRNA". It matches the Rfam family "Bacterial small subunit ribosomal RNA", at positions 335 to 790 of the family's 1533-position model. The record is from RNAcentral.
ACUCCUACGGGAGGCAGCAGUGGGGAAUAUUGCACAAUGGGCGCAAGCCUGAUGCAGCCAUGCCGCGUGUAUGAAGAAGGCCUUCGGGUUGUAAAGUACUUUCAGCAGUGAGGAAGGUGGAUAUGUUAAUAGCAUAUUCUAUUUGUACGUUAGCUGCAGAAGAAGCACCGGCUAACUCCGUGCCAGCAGCCGCGGUAAUACGGAGGGUGCGAGCGUUAAUCGGAAUUACGUGGCGUAAAGCGCAUGCAGGUGGUUUGUUAAGUCAGAUGUGAAAGCCCGGGGCUCAACCUCGGAAUUGCAUUUGAAACUGGCAAACUAGAGUACUGUAGAGGGGGUAGAAUUUCAGGUGUAGCGGUGAAAUGCGUAGAGAUCUGAAGGAUACCGGUGGCGAACGGCGGCCCCGUGGACAGAUACUGACACUCAGAUGCGAAAGCGUGGGAGCAAACAGGAUUAGAUACCCCGU